RNAcentral lists this long non-coding RNA (476 nucleotides) under Pan troglodytes (chimpanzee). RNAcentral describes it as "lincRNA". The record is from RNAcentral. Lineage: Eukaryota; Metazoa; Chordata; Mammalia; Primates; Hominidae.
UACCAGGCACUUUACCUGUGCUGUGAUCAUGUAAUCCUGUCAAGCAAAACCCAGCAGGAAGAUAGAAGACAAUAGAGCCGUGAUUUUGACCCAGCCUCCCAGGACACAGAUGGGGUGAAGAAAUCAAAGGGGCAAACAGAAUUUGCAGCCCAAAAGUUUCGAAGGGGCAGUUGGGAGACAUCUUUAGGCUUUCUGCAACCAAGCCACUGUCUUCCAUAAAGCAAGCGACAGUUACUCAGUGGAGGAAUAAGCCUUCAGUUGCAUACCACUCUGUGCAUUGGAUGGGAGGAUUUUGAAACUUUUGGAAGUUCCAUACUUCGGCUUUAUUCUAUGAAUCCACCAGCGCUGUGCACCAAAGUUUCUCUGUGGAGGGAGAACAUAUUUUUGCAGAGCAAGUACAGAUAAGAGGUUGGGUGCCUGAAGCCUGGAUAAUAAUAGAAUGACAGCUGAUGAUUCAUCAGUGCUCUUCAGAGCCA